CUACGGGUCGCAGCAGUCGGGAAUAUUGCGCAAUGGAGGAAACUCUGACGCAGUGACGCCGCGUAUAGGAAGAAGGUUUUCGGAUUGUAAACUAUUGUCGUUAGGGAAGAUAAAAGACAGUACCUAAGGAGGAAGCUCCGGCUAACUACGUGCCAGCAGCCGCGGUAAUACGUAGGGAGCAAGCGUUAUCCGGAUUUAUUGGGUGUAAAGGGUGCGUAGACGGGAAGACAAGUUAGUUGUGAAAUCCCUCGGCUUAACUGAGGAACUGCAACUAAAACUAUUUUUCUUGAGUGUUGGAGAGGAAAGUGGAAUUCCUAGUGUAGCGGUGAAAUGCGUAGAUAUUAGGAGGAACACCGGUGGCGAAGGCGACUUUCUGGACAAUAACUGACGUUGAGGCACGAAAGUGUGGGGAGCAAACAGGAUUAGAUACCCCCGUAGUC
Molecule: ribosomal RNA, 440 nt
Filed under: uncultured bacterium
Lineage: Bacteria
Description: partial 16S ribosomal RNA
Rfam family: Bacterial small subunit ribosomal RNA
Source: RNAcentral